Molecule: ribosomal RNA, 468 nt
Filed under: uncultured bacterium
Lineage: Bacteria
Description: partial 16S ribosomal RNA
Rfam family: Bacterial small subunit ribosomal RNA
Source: RNAcentral
GACGAACGCUGGCGGCGUGCUUAACACAUGCAAGUCGAACGGAAAGGCCCUGCUUUUGUGGGGUGCUCGAGUGGCGAACGGGUGAGUAACACGUGAGUAACCUGCCCUUGACUUUGGGAUAACUUCAGGAAACUGGGGCUAAUACCGGAUAGGAGCUCCUGCUGCAUGGUGGGGGUUGGAAAGUUUCGGCGGUUGGGGAUGGACUCGCGGCUUAUCAGCUUGUUGGUGGGGUAGUGGCUUACCAAGGCUUUGACGGGUAGCCGGCCUGAGAGGGUGACCGGCCACAUUGGGACUGAGAUACGGCCCAGACUCCUACGGGAGGCAGAAGUGGGGAAUAUUGCACAAUGGGCGGAAGCCUGAUGCAGCAACGCCGCGUGCGGGAUGACGGCCUUCGGGUUAUAAACCGCUUUCGCCUGUGACGAAGCGUGAGUGACGGUAAUGGGUAAAGAAGCACCGGCUAACUACGUG